This 465-nucleotide ribosomal RNA is filed under the name Vreelandella stevensii. RNAcentral describes it as "partial 16S ribosomal RNA". It matches the Rfam family "Bacterial small subunit ribosomal RNA", at positions 338 to 795 of the family's 1533-position model. Lineage: Bacteria; Pseudomonadati; Pseudomonadota; Gammaproteobacteria; Oceanospirillales; Halomonadaceae. The record is from RNAcentral.
CCUACGGGCGGCAGCAGUGGGGAAUAUUGGACAAUGGGGGGAACCCUGAUCCAGCCAUGCCGCGUGUGUGAAGAAGGCCCUCGGGUUGUAAAGCACUUUCAGUGAGGAAGAACGCCUGGUGGUUAAUACCCAUCAGGAAAGACAUCACUCACAGAAGAAGCACCGGCUAACUCCGUGCCAGCAGCCGCGGUAAUACGGAGGGUGCGAGCGUUAAUCGGAAUUACUGGGCGUAAAGCGCGCGUAGGUGGCUUGAUAAGCCGGUUGUGAAAGCCCCGGGCUCAACCUGGGAACGGCAUCCGGAACUGUCAAGCUAGAGUGCAGGAGAGGAAGGUAGAAGUCCCGGUGUAGCGGUGAAAUGCGUAGAGGUCGGGAGGAAUACCAGUGGCGAAGGCGGCCUUCUGGACUGACACUGACACUGAGGUGCGAAAGCGUGGGUAGCAAACAGGAUUAGAUAGCCUAGUAGUG